Long non-coding RNA from Panonychus citri (citrus red mite), 910 nucleotides. RefSeq lists it as uncharacterized. The record is from RefSeq and is a predicted model, not a curated record. NCBI's taxonomy places the organism in Eukaryota, Metazoa, Arthropoda, Arachnida, Trombidiformes, Tetranychidae. The transcript has 4 exons.
UGGAAGGAAAAAAUUUUCUGACCGUUAAUUAAUUCACUUAAUUUAAUUGUUCUGUUUUUUUUAUAUUAUUUCUCAUUAAUUUCCUAACAUGUAGAUUAUCUAGUCACGUAGGAAUCAAUUCUAUCACAUGUAAUCUCCAUUGGAAAAACUCAGGAUCGUCUUUGGAAAUGUAAUCAAAGUGUUGAGUCAAUUUCUCAAUUUGAUUGAUUUUUUUCUCUCUCUCUCUCAAUAGGAUAUUAAUUGUGUAUCUUAUCCGAAAAUGAUUCAAUCCUGAUGAGUUUCUCUCCAUCCAAUUGGUUACAUUUUCCUCAUCCUAUCUAAUCAUUGAUUCUCUUCACCAUUUCAUCAGUAAUCAAGGCCCUCUGAUUGCGUGACUUUGACACUUUUCCAUCAUUACAUCAACUCAUCAUUACAUGACAAUCACAUAAUCAUCACAUCAUCAUUAUUAUCGUGAUAGGACAACCUCCCCCACCCAUACACACAGCCCAUGAAUGAGUAAUAUUCAAUCAAUCACAGAUGACUUGGUAUUGUGUUUCAUAUACUAAACAAAAUGGAGCAAAAUAAUUGUCAAUUAACCUGAUUAUUGGCUGUAAUCAUUUAAUUGAGACGAUGAAGAAAAGGAGGAAGAGGACGACGAUGGAAUUAGGAAAAAAAAAGAGCUAAAGGAUGACAUCAAAAUAAUAACAAUGGUAAUAAUGAUGACGAUGAUAAUGAUAGUAAUAAUAACGAUUAUAAUGGACAGUUGACAGUUUGUAUUGUAUACAAAUUGUCACAAGGGAACAGUGAUAACUGUAAUCCAUCAAAUAAUCAAUGUUUUUCCAGAAUGACACCAAGAGAUUGGAAUGAAACAAAACCAAUAUUGGACCUGUUUAUGCAACCUCACGACAAACAUGAAAUUAAACAUUCAUAA